Molecule: ribosomal RNA, 412 nt
Filed under: uncultured bacterium
Lineage: Bacteria
Description: bacterial SSU rRNA
Rfam family: Bacterial small subunit ribosomal RNA
Source: RNAcentral
AGCGAACGUUAGCGGCGGGCCUAACACAUGCAAGUCGAGCGAGAAAGUGGCUUCGGCCAUCAGUAAAGCGGCGGACGGGUGAGUAACACGUAGGUAAUCUUCCCUUGAGCGGGGGACAACGAGCCGAAAGGCUCGCUAAUACCGCAUAAGUUUCCAGAGACUCUGGUCUUUGGAAGGAAAGCUAGGCCGCAAGGUCCGGCACUCGAGGAGGAGCCUGCGUCGCAUCAGCUAGNGGUGGGGGUAAUGGCCUACCAAGGCGAAGACGCGUAGCUGGUCUGAGAGGAUGAUCAGCCACACUGGGACUGAGACACGGCCCAGACUCCUACGGGAGGCAGCAGUGGGGAAUAUUGGACAAUGGGCGCAAGCCUGAUCCAGCCACGCCGCGUGAGUGAUGAAGGCCUUCGGUCGUAAG